GUGCUCGCUUCAGCAGCACAUAUACUGAAAUUGGAACGAUACGGAGAAGAUUAGCAUGGCCCCUGUGGAAGGAUGACAUGCAAAUUCGUGAAGCGUUCCAUAUUUUU
This 107-nucleotide small nuclear RNA is filed under the name Zalophus californianus (California sea lion). Lineage: Eukaryota; Metazoa; Chordata; Mammalia; Carnivora; Otariidae. The record is from RNAcentral.